Molecule: long non-coding RNA, 351 nt
Organism: Anguilla anguilla (European eel)
Lineage: Eukaryota; Metazoa; Chordata; Actinopteri; Anguilliformes; Anguillidae
Exons: 2
Source: RefSeq, a predicted model, not a curated record
UUGGAGAGAAGUUAGCAAGUUUGGUUAAUCCAAGAUUAGCCCAUGACGAGAAAUUAAGAAGAGUGAAGACAAUUACUAGUCCUGUCUGGCAAUCAUAAUAUGCAAACAGGAAUUGGGCAACUUAGGCCAUGAUACUGGCCAAAGUGAGUUACAGGGCUAGCUGGAUCUACCUGAUUGAGAAUUCACCCAUCUACCUACGGCCGCAACCAAUCCCAAAGUGGAAAGAUGCCAAAUAUGAUUCACUUUACAUGGUGAAUGAAUGAAAGCUGUGUACAGAGUACUGGGAUGGGGCACACCCAGGGGCCUUCUGUAGAUCUGUCGCCCUCUAGUGUUAAUAAACCAGUAGAUGCA